GUGGGUACAAGGAAUCCACUUUAUUAAACACACUAACCAAAAAACUGUAAUUUCUAAGAUAUGUUUCAAAUUAAGGUGUUUUUGGUUAGUGUGCUGAAUAUAGUAGAUUCAUUGUACCCA
Molecule: microRNA precursor, 120 nt
Organism: Medicago truncatula (barrel medic)
Lineage: Eukaryota; Viridiplantae; Streptophyta; Magnoliopsida; Fabales; Fabaceae
Rfam family: MIR2599 microRNA precursor family
Source: Rfam